UGCAGCCUACGGGGGGCAGCAGUGGGGAAUAUUGGGCAAUGGGCGCAAGCCUGACCCAGCAACGCCGCGUGAAGGAAGAAGGCUUUCGGGUUGUAAACUUCUUUUAUCAGGGACGAAGCAAGUGACGGUACCUGAUGAAUAAGCCACGGCUAACUACGUGCCAGCAGCCGCGGUAAUACGUAGGUGGCAAGCGUUGUCCGGAUUUAUUGGGCGUAAAGCGAGUGCAGGCGG
RNAcentral lists this ribosomal RNA (231 nucleotides) under uncultured bacterium. Its description in RNAcentral is "partial 16S ribosomal RNA". It matches the Rfam family "Bacterial small subunit ribosomal RNA", at positions 333 to 578 of the family's 1533-position model. The record is from RNAcentral.